RNAcentral lists this ribosomal RNA (240 nucleotides) under uncultured Lactobacillus sp. RNAcentral describes it as "partial 16S ribosomal RNA". It matches the Rfam family "Bacterial small subunit ribosomal RNA", at positions 122 to 356 of the family's 1533-position model. The record is from RNAcentral. Lineage: Bacteria; Bacillati; Bacillota; Bacilli; Lactobacillales; Lactobacillaceae.
UAACCUGCCCAAGAGAUCGGGAUAACACCUGGAAACAGAUGCUAAUACCGGAUAACAACAGAUGAUGCCUAUCAACUGUUUAAAAGAUGGUUCUGCUAUCACUCUUGGAUGGACCUGCGGUGCAUUAGCUAGUUGGUAGGGUAACGGCCUACCAAGGCGAUGAUGCAUAGCCGAGUUGAGAGACUGAUCGGCCACAUUGGGACUGAGACACGGCCCAAACUCCUACGGGAAGCAGCAGCG